CCUUUAUAGCAGUUGCGUCAGGCUAUAAACCGAUUCGAAUCAUUUACAGCGUUGCCUGGAAUUUUUCCCUGCUCGUGCUCAAAAAAGCCUAAUGUUGAGUUUCGUUUAAGUGGGAAUUGUAAAAGGGUAUGAACCCAUCAGCAACAUACAUAGCAUGAAUGCUGGAUGUUACACCAGAAUAGUACGUGGGCUAUAUCGGGCAGUACUGAACUAUAGCUACUAUAUAAACCGAUUUCAAGAUUUGACUUUUAGAGCACCUAGAGGCCUCUUAUUCAAUUUGGAUGACAAAUUUUACAUAUUAUUCAGUUAUAACUUCAAAUAUCGAUACUAAGUAUGCCUCAAAUCAGAGCUCAACCUUAUGGCAAUCCCAUAUAAACCAAUCCGAUACCUGGAUUACGAGAAUUCCCAUGUAUGGUAUAUGCAAAGGUGGCCCAAAAGUUGUUUUUCGAAGCAUUUCCAUAUUUUAUGUGUUUGCCACUUGUGCUCACAUUUUGAAUGUUUAUUUAAAAAUUGUUUUUUUGAUCAUUCGAUGCUGUGCGAUCUCUUGCUCUUAUCAAUACCUCCACAUGACCUACAUCCGCAUAUGUGGCACCCCUUAUCAAAUGGGUCAGUUUUUGGUUGUUUUAAUUGAAUUUUUUUAUUUGGUUUUUUUUCUAAUAUUUUCAUGAAACCCGAGUUGCUGUUCUAAAACUAAAUAAAUGCCUUGCCAUGCAUGGCGCUGACAACAGUCUUCAAGAGUCUAUUCGUUGCUUUGGCCGUUAGUGUUUUGGAACAAAAUUGUCCAGAAUGAAAUUCCUUUUGAUUUGCAUGACAUUGGUUAUCAGUUUGUUUGCCCUAGUGCAAGGUGAUAAUUGUUUGCGUCCUUGUCCAAUGAACUUGGCUUGGGUAUGUGGAGAACAUGAGGAUGGCAGCCAUAAUAGUUACCCUAAUGAAUGCGCUAUGGAGGCAGCUGCCUGCAAUCUUGGCAAAGCAAUUGUUAAAGCCUAUGACGGAGAAUGCAAAUAAAUGGAGAUACUUGUGAUUGGUUAAUAUUGGUAAUUUUUUUUAAUUUUCGUAAAAUAAAAACUGCAAUAUUGAAUACUCAACAUCAUCGA
Molecule: long non-coding RNA, 1094 nt
Organism: Stomoxys calcitrans (stable fly)
Lineage: Eukaryota; Metazoa; Arthropoda; Insecta; Diptera; Muscidae
Exons: 2
Source: RefSeq, a predicted model, not a curated record